Molecule: ribosomal RNA, 367 nt
Filed under: Streptomyces diastatochromogenes
Lineage: Bacteria; Bacillati; Actinomycetota; Actinomycetes; Kitasatosporales; Streptomycetaceae
Description: bacterial SSU rRNA
Rfam family: Bacterial small subunit ribosomal RNA
Source: RNAcentral
UACAGGUGGUGCAUGGCUGUCGUCAGCUCGUGUCGUGAGAUGUUGGGUUAAGUCCCGCAACGAGCGCAACCCUUGUUCUGUGUUGCCAGCAUGCCCUUCGGGGUGAUGGGGACUCACAGGAGACUGCCGGGGUCAACUCGGAGGAAGGUGGGGACGACGUCAAGUCAUCAUGCCCCUUAUGUCUUGGGCUGCACACGUGCUACAAUGGCAGGUACAAUGAGCUGCGAAGCCGUGAGGCGGAGCGAAUCUCAAAAAGCCUGUCUCAGUUCGGAUUGGGGUCUGCAACUCGACCCCAUGAAGUCGGAGUUGCUAGUAAUCGCAGAUCAGCAGUGCUGCGGUGAAUACGUUCCCGGGUCUUGUACACACC